This 253-nucleotide ribosomal RNA is filed under the name uncultured bacterium. Its description in RNAcentral is "partial 16S ribosomal RNA". It matches the Rfam family "Bacterial small subunit ribosomal RNA", at positions 524 to 776 of the family's 1533-position model. The record is from RNAcentral.
UACGUAGGGGGCAAGCGUUGUCCGGAAUCAUUGGGCGUAAAGAGCGUGUAGGCGGUUCAGUAAGUCUGCUGUGAAAGUCCAGGGCUCAACCCUGGGAUGCCGGUGGAUACUGCCGGGCUAGAGUACGGAAGAGGCGAGUGGAAUUCCCGGUGUAGCGGUGAAAUGCGCAGAUAUCGGGAGGAACACCUAUUGCGAAGGCAGCUCGCUGGGACGUUACUGACGCUGAGACGCGAAAGCGUGGGGAGCAAACAGG